Molecule: long non-coding RNA, 202 nt
Filed under: Oryza brachyantha (malo sina)
Lineage: Eukaryota; Viridiplantae; Streptophyta; Magnoliopsida; Poales; Poaceae
Description: long non-coding RNA (OBRA_LNC001716)
Source: RNAcentral
CAUUUGGGAUAUGCAUGAGUGCCAUCCCAUGCAUUAGUUUUCAUGAUAGGCCCUUGCCUCCAACGGUCUCCAUUUCAUGAGUGUCAUCUUCCCAUGUUUAUGCUUCUUCCACUGGGAUGAAACUUAAUUUUGACAAACACGGAAUUAAGAACCCUCUAAAUUUAAGAUUUUUGUACCAGUAGAUGUUAAUAAUAAGGUUAUG